AUACGUAGGUGGCGAGCGUUGUCCGGAAUUACUGGGUGUAAAGGGCGUGUAGGCGGGGAGACAAGUCAGAUGUGAAAUACCGAGGCUUAACUUCGGGGCUGCAUCUGAAACUGUUUUUCUUGAGUGUCGGAGAGGAAAGCGGAAUUCCUAGUGUAGCGGUGAAAUGCGUAGAUAUUAGGAGGAACACCAGUGGCGAAGGCGGCCUGCUGGACGACAACUGACGCUGAGGCGCGAAAGCGUGGGGAGCAAACAGGAUUAGAUACCCUGGUAGUCCACGCUGUAAACGAUGAAUACUAGGUGUGGGGGGACUGACCCCCUCCGUGCCGCAGUUAACACAAUAAGUAUUCCACCUGGGGAGUACGAUCGCAAGAUUGAAACUCAAAUGAAUUGACGGGG
RNAcentral lists this ribosomal RNA (396 nucleotides) under uncultured bacterium. RNAcentral's name for it is "partial 16S ribosomal RNA". It matches the Rfam family "Bacterial small subunit ribosomal RNA", at positions 523 to 918 of the family's 1533-position model. The record is from RNAcentral.